AGGAUAUAAUUUGUUUUAAAAAGCCAAUCCGAACACUGUCCUAUGUGUAUAUAGGGUGGCCAUGCUGUUAAAUUUGCACAUAGACUGUCAGUGACUGAGGAUGACCCAAAUUGCAACUUCCUGUUUUAAUGUUGCAAAGGUUGCCUAUGCCUGAUGGUGUGUCAAAUACCCAAAGCUUGCAUGGAGGGACCUAACAAUGGACCUUUUCACAGCUGUGCUUCCAGAAUCUUUAUCGACUUUACUUCAUAGUACAAUAAGAUGAACAAAACACAAACCGCCUGAUUUCCAACAGCUGAUUUAAAACCAAAACCACCAUGUGAGACUUAAUAAUUGAAUUUAUUACAGUUGGUAUAGUACACAUUAGAUAUGGAUGACAUAUCUGCAGUAAGUCAUUGUAAGUCUAGUAAAUAUCCAGAUGAUAACAUCUAUUUAAGAACAGCACUGAUAAUUAUAUACGAGGAGGUCACGUUAAGGGUUCCACAACAAAUUAAAGAGAUGAUGUCCAUGAAGUUAUCUAUGCUACUCUAUAUAAAGCUUGGGUAAUAUUCAGUGCAGAUACUGACUUGUGUUCCUGACUCACAGGCGGUGCUCAGACACAUUUAACCCACUGUCUGACAGAAUGAAUGAACGUGCGCUGUAAGUGAACCCGUUUCGGGCAUGAGGUUAAUUAUUUUCUAUAUGAGUACAUUAAAUCAUUUUGUUUUCCAAGUGUAAAUGAAGCCUUCAAUUAGAUUGAAUAAAAUACAAGAUGUGCACCACCAUGCCUGGCUAAUUUGUUUAUUUUUGUACAGGCAGGGUUUCACCAUGUUGCCCAGGCUGGUCUGGGACUCCUGAGUUCAAGCCAUCCACCUGCCUUGGCCUCCCAAAGUGCUAGGAUUACAGGUGCGAGCCACUGCACCUGUCCUAAAAUACAGAUUUUGCUUAAUUUCUAUACUUGAUGUUCUGGUACAGACAUUUGCUUGGAAAUACAGUAUAGUUAGCAGAAGCCUUUUCAUGGGGAAAUAAGAUAUCAGUAAGUAUUCCAGGACUUUAAACUAGAAUACAAAAGAAGAAAAUAUUUAAAAUAAACUAUAGGGUAAUAUAAAAUUUAUUUACAUCCUUACAUUUAACUGCUUAUUUUACAAGCAAUAAGUUAUCAUUCACCAAUUAAUAAUUUAUGUCAAGUUCACCUGUAUUAAUACACACAAACUUCUAUGAAGUUCCAUAAUGCCAAAUAAAAAAGCAACAUUUAAGUUUAUCAUGUAUUUUAUAUAGGCAUAACGCAACACCAGCAUUACAGGAUUGCAUUUACAAAUUCUCUUGACUCUAAGCAUGAAGUUAGGUUAAAAGACUAAGGCAAUUUAACUGUUUUUGGGUUUUUUUAUAUUUAGGAAACCUAAAUUUGUAUGAGUGAAUUAAAUUGAAUUACAUUUUCUUAUAGGUGUAUCAGUUUACCCUAUCUUUGUUAAAAUAACACGCACUGCCCUACAAAAUGAAUGCCGUAUUCACAAUCAUGUUUCUGCCACAAUCUUAAAGAUUUGGGGAAACAAAUGCAAUCUAAAAUCAGAGACUCCAUGUUCAAUGCCAAAGGUACACACCUCUAUUUUUUCCCCAAUAAGCCUCUUGGAAAAGUCUUUGAAUUACACGUUAAAGUGCACUUCAAGGAAAUGUGAUGUUUUCAUUUAUAGCUGGUGAACAGCAUGCAAUUUAACAGCACUGUCACUAACAAUUAGAGACUGCUCUGGAUCUAAAUACUAAAAAUGACAUACACUGCAAUCACAAGAUAUUUGGACGUGGGAAUUUAUUGAACAAAGUUAGGCCGGGACUCUAAAGCAGCACUUGCUUCUUUUGCUCCAAGACGACGACGUUUAAACGUUAGUAUCACUAUUGUUUCUUUUUCCCUCAACUCUUCUCCCACACUGCCUUCUCCCCCACCACCUUCUCCCAACGUCUUUCCCCGCUUCCCUUCUCCCUCCCUCCGCUCCCCCUUCUUCUCCCAGCACUGUCUUCUCAGCCCGUCUUUCUGCCUUUUUCUUCCCCUCCCUGCCUCAUCCUCUUCUCUCCCACCAAUCUUUUUCUCCUCUCCAUCUAUUUCCCCAAGGUCGUCUUCGCUGCUUUCCCCUCCCUUCUUCUUCCCCCAAACCCGUCCUCUUCCCUACUCCCUCCCCACCCUUUUCUUCCCUUCACCGCUUUUCCAGUCUUCUUCCCCACCUUCUGCCCUUUCCCUCCCCUCUCCUUCCCGACCCUUCUCCUUUCCCACCCCGCUCCUUUCCCAACGUCUUCCCACCUUUUUCUCCCCUCUCCCUCUUCUCCCCUCCUUCUUCCCCACUGCGGUCUUCCCGCAUCCUCUUCUGCAGUCUCCCUACUGUUUUCUUCCCGCACCUUCUUCUCCCCCGCAGUUUUUUCCCCUUCCCCACCGUUUUCUUCCCGCACCUUCUUCUCCCCCGCAGUUUUUUUCCCCUUCCCCACCGUUUUCUUCCCCUCAGUCUCUCCCAUUCCUGGCAGCACGGCUUCUUGUGGCGGCAGCUUUUCCUCCCAUCUUCUUCUAUCCACCCGCUCGCUUCCAGUCUCCACCUUCCCGCCUAUUCCCCCAGCAGCGUCUUCCCGCCGCUCCCUCUUCUCCCCUCCCCCUCCUCACCGUCUUCUCCCGGCCUAUUACCCCCAACCGUUUUCUUCCUCACCCCGCACCGUUUCCUUCCCAUGUCUGCCGCAGUCUUCUUCCCACCCUCUUCUCCUCUCCCCAUCGUCUUCUUUCCCAGCCUCUUAUUCUCCGUCUUCUACCCGCCUCCAUAUCCCCACCUUCUUCUCGCAGCAGCGUCUUCCUGCCGCGCUUUUCUCUCCCCGCACCAAAUCUUCUCUCUUCCUCUUCCCACCGUCCUCUCCCCACGCCGUCCUCUCCCCACGCCGUCUUCUCCCCUCACCGUCUUCUCCCCUCACCGUCUUCUCCCCGCGCCUUCCCCACAACCGUUUUCUUCCCCCCACACCGUUUUCUUCCCCUCACACCGUUUUCUUCCCAUGUCCUCCCACCGUCUGGCAGGAGCGUCUGUCAGUCGCAAUCUUCUUCCCACUUUCUUCUCUCCCUCUCCCCAUCGUCUUUUUUCCCAGCCUCUUAUUUCCGCCAUCUUCUUCCCCUCCCCCACCAUUCUCUUCCCGUUUCCAUCUCCCCACCUUCUCGCAGCAGCGACUUCCUGCCGCGCUUUUCUCUCCCCCUCUCCCUUCUCCCCUCUUCCACUCCCCACCGUCUUCGCCCCCGAUCGUCUUCUCGCCCACCCCCUUCUCGCGCUCUCCCACUGCCUUUCACCUAGAAGCUCUCCAGGCGUGCGCGCGCCUGUGUCCCUGCCCCCGGUGUGUCUAUGCGCCCAGGCAGCCCCAUAAGCUGGGCCCCUGAGCUCCGCCCCAGCAGCCAACGGGAGACCCAGGAGAGUCGCUGCCUGUGCCAUCACGGCUGCCGCCACCCCCGCCCCCGCCCCCGCCGCUGCUUCAGAACUGAACAGUGUUGGCUGCGGGCGGAAGACAGUGGGGCCCAGAAGACUGCGGGGAGAGGGGGAGGAGGGGACGGAGAGGGUGGGAAAGACCUUGGAAAGUAGGAUGGGGAGAAAGAAGGUGGGGAAGAAGACGGGGAGAAAGUGCAGGGAAGAGACAGUGUGGUAGAGAAGACAGUGGAGGAAAACGGUGAGGAGAGGGAGAAAGGAGGGUGGAAAAGAAAACGAUGAGGACAAGGCCGGGAGCGGUGGCUCACGCCUGUAAUCCCAGCACUUUGGGAGGCUGAUGCGGGCGGAUCACAAGGAAGGUCGUGGGAACAUCCAGAGACCUACAGGGAAGACGGCCAUGGGACAAAGGAGGCAGAGUCUGGAGUUAGCUGCCUACAGUCACGGAAUGCCAAGGACAGCUGGAAACCACCAGAAGCUAAGAAGGAGAUUUUACCUGAAAGCCUCCCAAAGGAAUCAGUCAUACCCACACCUCCUUUUUGAAUUUCUGGCCUCGUGAAUGGUGAAAAAAUGAAUUUCUAUCAUCUUAAGCCCUGUGGUUUGUGGUCAUUUAUUCUGUUCCUAGCCUUAGGAAACUAACACAGCAUGCUAAGGGAAAAGAAGAAAAUUCUGCAUAAAAUGUCAUUUUACUUUUUAAA
Molecule: RNA transcript, 4105 nt
Organism: Pongo pygmaeus (Bornean orangutan)
Lineage: Eukaryota; Metazoa; Chordata; Mammalia; Primates; Hominidae
Exons: 2
Source: RefSeq, a predicted model, not a curated record